GCGCUCUUAGUUCAGUUCGGUAGACCGUGGGUCUCCAAAACCCAAUGUCGUAGGUUCAAAUCCUACAGAGCGCG
Molecule: transfer RNA, 74 nt
Filed under: Gossypium arboreum
Lineage: Eukaryota; Viridiplantae; Streptophyta; Magnoliopsida; Malvales; Malvaceae
Rfam family: tRNA
About the family: Transfer RNA (tRNA) molecules are approximately 80 nucleotides in length. Their secondary structure includes four short double-helical elements and three loops (D, anti-codon, and T loops).
Source: Rfam by way of RNAcentral